RNAcentral lists this ribosomal RNA (440 nucleotides) under uncultured bacterium. RNAcentral describes it as "partial 16S ribosomal RNA". It matches the Rfam family "Bacterial small subunit ribosomal RNA", at positions 338 to 795 of the family's 1533-position model. The record is from RNAcentral.
CCUACGGGAGGCAGCAGUGGGGAAUAUUGCACAAUGGGGGAAACCCUGAUGCAGCGACGCCGCGUGAGUGAAGAAGUAUUUCGGUAUGUAAAGCUCUAUCAGCAGGGAAGAAAAUGACGGUACCUGAUUAAGAAGCCCCGGCUAACUACGUGCAAGCAGCGGCGGGAAUACGGAGGGGGCAAGCGUUAUCCGGAUUUACUGGGCGUAAAGGGAGCGUAGACGGCAGCACAAGUCUGGAGUGAAAUGCCGGGGGUUAAACCCGGAACUGCUGUUGAAACUGUGCAGCUAGAGUGGAGGAGAGGUAAGUGGAAUGCGUAGUGUAGCGGUGAAAUGCGUAGAUAUUAGGCAGAACACCAGUGGCGAAGGCGGCUUACUGGACUGUAACUGACGUUGAGGCUCGAAAGCGUGGGUAGCAAACAGGAUUAGAUACCCCUGUAGUC